GUUUUAAUAGUUUAAAAAUAAAAUAAUGAACUUGUAAUUCAUAGAUGGGGAAUAUUAACCUUUAAAACU
Molecule: transfer RNA, 69 nt
Filed under: Megacopta caliginosa
Lineage: Eukaryota; Metazoa; Arthropoda; Insecta; Hemiptera; Plataspidae
Description: tRNA-Thr
Rfam family: tRNA
About the family: Transfer RNA (tRNA) molecules are approximately 80 nucleotides in length. Their secondary structure includes four short double-helical elements and three loops (D, anti-codon, and T loops). Further hydrogen bonds mediate the characteristic L-shaped molecular structure. tRNAs have two regions of fundamental functional importance: the anti-codon, which is responsible for specific mRNA codon recognition, and the 3' end, to which the tRNAs corresponding amino acid is attached (by aminoacyl-tRNA synthetases). tRNAs cope with the degeneracy of the genetic code in two manners: having more than one tRNA (with a specific anti-codon) for a particular amino acid; and 'wobble' base-pairing, i.e. permitting non-standard base-pairing at the 3rd anti-codon position.
Source: RNAcentral